RNAcentral lists this ribosomal RNA (326 nucleotides) under uncultured eukaryote. RNAcentral's name for it is "partial 18S ribosomal RNA". It matches the Rfam family "Eukaryotic small subunit ribosomal RNA", at positions 1470 to 1796 of the family's 1831-position model. The record is from RNAcentral.
CCCUUAGAUGUUCUGGGCCGCACGCGCGCUACACUGACGGAGGCAGCGAGCAUGUCCUUCGCCGAGAGGUGUGGGGAAUCUUGUGAGUCUCCGUCGUGCUGGGGAUAGAUGGUUGCAAUUGUCGAUCUUGAACGAGGAAUUCCUAGUAAGCGCGAGUCAUCAGCUUGCGUCGAUUACGUCCCUGCCCUUUGUACACACCGCCCGUCGCUCCUACCGAUUGGGUGUGCUGGUGAAAUGUUCGGAUCGGCCGUUUGUCGCGGUUUCCGCGUCAUGUGGCUGAGAAGUUCAUUAAACCCUCCCACCUAGAGGAAGGAGAAGUCGUAACA